This 253-nucleotide ribosomal RNA is filed under the name uncultured bacterium. RNAcentral describes it as "partial 16S ribosomal RNA". It matches the Rfam family "Bacterial small subunit ribosomal RNA", at positions 524 to 776 of the family's 1533-position model. The record is from RNAcentral.
UACGUAGGGACCAAGCGUUGUUCGGAUUUACUGGGCGUAAAGGGCGCGUAGGCGGCGUGACAAGUCACUUGUGAAAUCUCUGAGCUUAACUCAGAACGGCCAAGUGAAACUGUUGUGCUAGAGUGCAGAAGGGGCAAUCGGAAUUCUUGGUGUAGCGGUGAAAUGCGUAGAUAUCAAGAGGAACACCAGUGGCGAAGGCGGCUACCUGGACCGGUUCUGACGCUGAGGCGCGAAAGCGUGGGUAGCAAACAGG